CUAGUUGGUUGAAUGGUAGCUCUAUUGUAAUAGAGAGGAAAGUCUGGGCUCCAUAGGAAAAAGUACCAGGUAACUCCUGGCAGGAGAAAUCCUAGAGAUAGUGCCACAGAGAAUAGACCGCCUAAUCAAGGCAAGGGUGAAACGGUGAGGUAAGAGCUCACCGCCUUUUUAGUAAUAAAAAGGGCAAGGAAAACCUUACUUGGAGCAAGACCAAAUAGGGAUAGCACGAUCUUUGAUCAAACAUCCUAAGUUUGCUAUCCGGGUUGGUUGCUGGAGCUGUUUAGAAAUAAUCAGCCAAGAUAAAUUACCAUUUUAAAUGACAGAACCCAGCUUAUAGACCAACUAGCAAA
This is a non-coding RNA of 350 nucleotides. It matches the Rfam family "Bacterial RNase P class A". Rfam says of the family: Ribonuclease P (RNase P) is a ubiquitous endoribonuclease, found in archaea, bacteria and eukarya as well as chloroplasts and mitochondria. Its best characterised activity is the generation of mature 5'-ends of tRNAs by cleaving the 5'-leader elements of precursor-tRNAs. The record is from Rfam.